UUUCCUAGGAAGCUGAUGCUUACAACAAUGGAGAUUAGCAAUACCUGGACAGAGUUGAGCUUCAAAGGAUACUGAGAAAUAGCUAAAGCAGAUGAUAAAGAAAAAAUGAGGAAAUGCUGUGAAGAACUAAUAGAACGUUUCAGAAGCAGAACAAGUCGAGAGCAGUGAUGACCCUUUUGUUCCUGCUAGUACCUCCUGUCUGUCUGGCCGAACUCACCAUCAGAUGAUGUCUUGAACCUCACCUAGAUGGGCUGGUGGUGUGUGGCCAGGUUAAGAGCACCAACAGGAGUAAGAAAGUGACCUGCCUGGUUUUACCGUGUGUACUAGGGGAGGGGUUGAAAGCUUUCGGUUGAUACAUCACCUCUGGGAGUUGAAGAAGAAUGCAAUUAAGAGAGCUAAAGAAGUCAGUAGGUAUCUCUCCUGAACAAUUCUGGUUUUCUUCUAAUAGCUUUUACAAUUUUUACCUCUGUUAUGAAAUGCAAACUUUUAACCAAUAUUAGUAAUAGUAAUCUCAAAUCUCAUCAUCAUCAAAAUCUUAUUUAUGAAAUAUAGGAGUUAGUUCAUAUACAGCCUUAGCCUUUUCCACAUUAUAAAAUAUAUUCCAUAUAUAUGUGUGAUCUUCAUUUAAUAUUCAAGUAAAUGUUGUAAGAUAUUGUUAUUUUUAUUCUAACAUUUCACAGGUAUAGAAUCUGAAACUCAGAGGUCAACUGAUGUGUCAAAGAUACCUCCACAAAUCAGUACCUUGAUUAAAACUAAAAUUGGAGUCAUCUUCAUAUCUCCAUCUUUCUCCCUCUUCAUUAGGACCGAUUGUAGUCUGUUUCCCUCUCACUCACUUGCAAUCUUUAUUGCUUUAGUGUUGCAUUUGAUUUUUAUCUUUGUUUUUGUUUUAAAUACUGUCAUUAAAGUCAUAGAAAAAUCUAAAAUAAAACUGGUUGAAUAAAAAUUUUAAAAUCGA
RNAcentral lists this long non-coding RNA (955 nucleotides) under Homo sapiens (human). Its description in RNAcentral is "non-protein coding lnc-OR2G6-2:1". Lineage: Eukaryota; Metazoa; Chordata; Mammalia; Primates; Hominidae. The record is from RNAcentral.